RNAcentral lists this small nucleolar RNA (135 nucleotides) under Pelobates cultripes (western spadefoot toad). It matches the Rfam family "U8 small nucleolar RNA". Rfam says of the family: U8 is a member of the C/D class of snoRNA which contain the C (UGAUGA) and D (CUGA) box motifs. U8 is the RNA component of a small complex (the U8 snoRNP) which is required for accumulation of mature large subunit ribosomal RNAs, 5.8S and 28S rRNAs. The record is from RNAcentral. Lineage: Eukaryota; Metazoa; Chordata; Amphibia; Anura; Pelobatidae.
UCUUCAGUGAGGUCAAUCCUUACCUGUUCCUCCUUAGGGAGAAACAGUAUAUGAUGAAUGGAGAAGGCUGAUAUUUGAUUACAGCAGCUCCGCAUAUCCCGAGCGACAACACAACUCGUGAUGUGAUAUUCUGAU